ACCCGCUAGACUUAAGCAUAUCA
Molecule: ribosomal RNA, 23 nt
Filed under: fungal sp. NT-01
Lineage: Eukaryota; Fungi
Description: partial 28S ribosomal RNA
Source: RNAcentral